UUUGUUUCGGAAACUUCGAAAGUUACGGAAACAAGUUUUGAAGGGUGUAUAUAUGUAGCAGUAUCCAUGUCGACACCCUCACGACUCCACAACAUUGUUUCGCAUAUCCCUCACACCUCACCGCACCUUCGUAAACCUUCGCAACCUUGCCGGAAAGAUUGACACGUUGCCGGAAGGAACCUGGACAUCAUCGAAAAAAAAAAACAUAACACCUCACUGUUUUAUUCUCUCUCUCUCGUUGAUUCACGGCGGCCGGAGUUCACCGGAGUUACAUCGGACUCAAGUCGUCAUCGUUCGUAAUCGCCUCUCAUGUGGUAUUUCACAUCUAGGAUAAUCGCUCUUGGUCGUUCCUUGUAUUUCCAAAUCCUUUCCUCGCACGUUAUUAAAAGAAAUCGCUACGCAACCAAUGUUGAUUAUUGAAGUAUGGAUGAAUGAUGAAACGAGUUUAGGGUGGACUAGAUACACACCUAGAAUUUAUCCAUCUUAUGUUUGUUAUGUUAUUGUUGAAACAAGGUUGUAUUUUGUUUUGAAAUCUUGUAUGACAAUUUAGCACUUGCAAUGAAAUUUGAAUUUA
This 574-nucleotide long non-coding RNA is filed under the name Helianthus annuus (common sunflower). Its description in RNAcentral is "hypothetical non coding rna". The record is from RNAcentral. Lineage: Eukaryota; Viridiplantae; Streptophyta; Magnoliopsida; Asterales; Asteraceae.